RNAcentral lists this ribosomal RNA (169 nucleotides) under Micropterus dolomieu (smallmouth bass). RNAcentral's name for it is "partial 12S rRNA". Lineage: Eukaryota; Metazoa; Chordata; Actinopteri; Centrarchiformes; Centrarchidae. The record is from RNAcentral.
CACCGCGGUUAUACGAGAGGCCCAAGUUGACAAACCCCGGCGUAAAGAGUGGUUAAGGGAAAUUUAAAACUAAAGCCGAAUGCCCCCAAAGCUGUUAUACGCACCCGAGGGUAAGAAGCCCAAUCACGAAAGUGGCUUUACACUACCUGAACCCACGAAAGCUAUGAAA